ACGUGUAGCAGUGAAAUGCGUAGAUAUGCGGAGGAACACCGAUGGCGAAGGCAGCCCCCUGGGAUAAUACUGACGCUCAUGCACGAAAGCGUGGGGAGCAAACAGGAUUAGAUACCCUGGUAGUCCACGCCCUAAACGAUGUCAACUAGCUGUUGGGGCCUUCGGGCCUUAGUAGCGCAGCUAACGCGUGAAGUUGACCGCCUGGGGAGUACGGUCGCAAGAUUAAAACUCAAAGGAAUUGACGGGGACCCGCACAAGCGGUGGAUGAUGUGGAUUAAUUCGAUGCAACGCGAAAAACCUUACCUACCCUUGACAUGUCUGGAAUCCCGAAGAGAUUUGGGAGUGCUCGCAAGAGAACUGGAACACAGGUGCUGCAUGGCUGUCGUCAGCU
RNAcentral lists this ribosomal RNA (391 nucleotides) under uncultured Pseudomonadota bacterium. RNAcentral describes it as "bacterial SSU rRNA". It matches the Rfam family "Bacterial small subunit ribosomal RNA", at positions 671 to 1060 of the family's 1533-position model. The record is from RNAcentral. Lineage: Bacteria; Pseudomonadati; Pseudomonadota.